AGCAGCCGCGGUAAUUCCAGCUCCAAUAGCGUAUAUUAAAGUUGUUGCAGUUAAAAGCUCGUAGUUGAAUUUCGGGGUUAGUAGGUUGGUCAUGCCUCUGGUAUGUACUGGUCUCACUGAUUCCUCCUUCCUGAUGAGCCGUAAUGCCAUUAAUUUGGUGUUGCGAGGAAUUUGGACUGUUACUUUGAAAAAAUUAGAGUGUUUAAAGCAAGCUAACGCUUGAAUACAUUAGCAUGGAAUAAUGAAAUAGGACGUUCGAUCCUAUUUUGUUGGUUUCUAGGAUUGACGUAAUGAUUAAUAGGGAUAGUUGGGGGCAUUAGUAUUCAAUUGUCAGAGGUGAAAUUCUUGGAUUUAUUGAAGACUAACUACUGCGAAAGCAUUUUGCCAAGGAUGUUUUCAUUAAUCAAGAACGAAAGUUAGGGGAUCGAAGACGAUCAGAUACCGUCGUAGUCUUAACCAUAAACUAUGCCGACUAGGGAUCGGAUGAUGUUAAUUUUUUAAUGACUCAUUCGGCGCCUUA
Molecule: unclassified non-coding RNA, 520 nt
Filed under: uncultured Glomus
Lineage: Eukaryota; Fungi; Glomeromycota; Glomeromycetes; Glomerales; Glomeraceae
Description: SSU rRNA
Rfam family: Eukaryotic small subunit ribosomal RNA
Source: RNAcentral